GUGGGGAAUCUUAGACAAUGGGCGCAAGCCUGAUCUAGCCAUGCCGCGUGAGCGAUGAAGGCCUUAGGGUUGUAAAGCUCUUUCGUGGGGGAAGAUAAUGACUGUACCCCAAGAAGAAGCCCCGGCUAACGCCGUGCCAGCAGCCGCGGUAAUACGGAGGGGGCGAGCGUUGUUCGGAAUUACUGGGCGUAAAGCGCACGUAGGCGGACCAGAAAGUCAGAGGUGAAAGCCCGGGGCGCAACCCCGGAACUGCCUUUGAAACUCCUGGUCUUGAGGUCGAGAGAGGUGGGUGGAAUUCCGAGUGUAGAGGUGAAAUUCGUAGAUAUUCGGAGGAACACCAGUGGCGAAGGCGGCCCACUGGCUCGAUACUGACGCUCAUGCACGAAAGCGUGGGGAGCAAACAGGAUUAGAUACCCUGGUAGUCC
This 425-nucleotide ribosomal RNA is filed under the name uncultured bacterium. RNAcentral describes it as "partial 16S ribosomal RNA". It matches the Rfam family "Bacterial small subunit ribosomal RNA", at positions 354 to 796 of the family's 1533-position model. The record is from RNAcentral.